GGUCGGAUGGUGUAGUUGGUUAUCACGUCAGUCUAACACACUGAAGGUCCCCAGUUCGAGCCUGGGUUCGAUCA
This is a non-coding RNA of Hypoxylon sp. FL1150, 74 nucleotides long. The record is from the annotation of a GenBank genome assembly. NCBI's taxonomy places the organism in Eukaryota, Fungi, Ascomycota, Sordariomycetes, Xylariales, Hypoxylaceae.